CGUAGGGACCGAGCGUUGUCCGGAUUCAUUGGGCGUAAAGAGCUCGUAGGCGGCCACUCAAGUCGAAUGUGAAACCUCGAGGCUUAACCUCGAGCCUGCAUUCGAUACUGGGCGGCUAGAGUCUGGUAGGGGGAUCUGGAAUUCCUGGUGUAGCGGUGGAAUGCGCAGAUAUCAGGAGGAACACCGGUGGCGAAGGCGGGAUCCUGGGCCAGUACUGACGCUGAGGAGCGAAAGCGUGGGGAGCAAACAGGAUUAGAUACCCUGGUAGUCCACGCCGUAAACGAUGGGCGCUGGGUGUGGGAGGUCAUCGACUCCUUCCGUGCCGCAGCUAACGCAUUAAGCGCCCCGCCUGGGGAGUACGGCCGCAAGGCUA
RNAcentral lists this ribosomal RNA (373 nucleotides) under uncultured organism. Its description in RNAcentral is "bacterial SSU rRNA". It matches the Rfam family "Bacterial small subunit ribosomal RNA", at positions 526 to 896 of the family's 1533-position model. The record is from RNAcentral.